GUGCUCUCGGUUCCGGUAAGACAUACUAUGCU
This 32-nucleotide non-coding RNA is filed under the name Geobacter sulfurreducens PCA. The record is from RNAcentral. Lineage: Bacteria; Pseudomonadati; Thermodesulfobacteriota; Desulfuromonadia; Geobacterales; Geobacteraceae.